This is a non-coding RNA of Cordylochernes scorpioides, 64 nucleotides long. The record is from the annotation of a GenBank genome assembly. NCBI's taxonomy places the organism in Eukaryota, Metazoa, Arthropoda, Arachnida, Pseudoscorpiones, Chernetidae.
CCAUCGGUGGUUCAGUGGUAGAAUGCUCGCCUGCCACGCCUGGGUUCGAUUCCCGGCCGAUGCU